Molecule: ribosomal RNA, 724 nt
Filed under: uncultured soil bacterium
Lineage: Bacteria
Description: bacterial SSU rRNA
Rfam family: Bacterial small subunit ribosomal RNA
Source: RNAcentral
UAGCGGCAGGCCUAAUACAUGCAAGUCGGACGGGAUUGGAGAGCUUGCUUUUCAUGAGAGUGGCGCACGGGUGCGUAACACGUAUGUAACCUACCUUCUUCAGGGGGAUAGCCUCUCGAAAGAGAGAUUAAGACCGCAUAAUAUUGCAAUGUGGCAUCACAAAGCAAUCAGAUAUUUAUAGGAAGAAGAUGGGCAUGCGGAACAUUAGCUAGUUGGUAAGGUAAUGGCUUACCAAGGCUACGAUGUUUAGGGGAUCUGAGAGGAUGGCCCCCCACACUGGUACUGAGACACGGACCAGACUCCUACGGGAGGCAGCAGUAAGGAAUAUUGGUCAAUGGACGGAAGUCUGAACCAGCCAUGCCGCGUGCAGGAAGACGGCCCUACGGGUUGUAAACUGCUUUUGCAGGGGAAUAAACCCCGAUACGUGUAUCGGGCUGAAUGUACUCUGAGAAUAAGGAUCGGCUAACUCCGUGCCAGCAGCCGCGGUAAUACGGAGGAUCCAAGCGUUAUCCGGAUUUAUUGGGUUUAAAGGGUGCGUAGGUGGCCUGUUAAGUCAGGGGUGAAAGACGGUAGCUUAACUAUCGCAGUGCCCUUGAUACUGAUGGGCUUGAAUGAACUAGAGGUAGGCGGAAUGUGACAAGUAGCGGUGAAAUGCAUAGAUAUGUCACAGAACACCAAUUGCGAAGGCAGCUUACUAUGGUUUUAUUGACACUGAGGCACGAAA